Empidonax traillii (willow flycatcher) is the source of this 483-nucleotide long non-coding RNA. RefSeq lists it as uncharacterized. NCBI's taxonomy places the organism in Eukaryota, Metazoa, Chordata, Aves, Passeriformes, Tyrannidae. The transcript is spliced from 3 exons. The record is from RefSeq and is a predicted model, not a curated record.
UGAAGUUGAAAUGAUUCCUGUUUCAUAUAUACAGCCCAAAGUCCAGAAAUAUAAUAAAGGGUAAGGAGGGAAGUGUAUUAUCUAUCCAUACUGUAAAUUCACACACUGGAACUGAUUCAGGACCAGCCUAACUCUUGCAUCCCUGCCGACUUCUACAUGGGUGUCAGGUAGGAAAAGCAAGGUCUUUUACUACACAGGCCAGGUGAUUUUGCAGCUACUGUAGCCCACGUCAGAAGUAAAGGGAAAAGAGAAAUGAUGAGAUUCCAGCCUGGUGCACAGAGGAACAUUGCUGUUACCCUCUGAAAUUCUGGGUUGCCAGGCAGAUGUAUGACAAACCAUCAGCCUCCUCUCAUGUGUCCACCAGCUUGUCCUGCUAUCCCAGCCCCUGCAGCCACAGAUCCCCAUGCUCUGAGGACCUUCAGUAAGACUUGAAAACUGCGUUUUAAGGGAUGAUCUAAAAAAAUGCUCAUAGUUGUACAUGGG